ACGGAAGGCAGCAGUGGGGAAUACUGCGCAAUGGGGGAAACCCUGAUGUAGCGACGCCGCGUGAAGGAAGAAGUAUCUCGGUAUGUAAACUUCUAUCAGCAGGGAAGAUAAUGACGGUACCUGACUAAGAAGCCCCGGCUAACUACGUGCCAGCAGCCGCGGUAAUACGUAGGGGGCAAGCGUUAUCCGGAUUUACUGGGUGUAAAGGGAGCGUAGACGGAUCGGCAAGUCUGAUGUGAAAGGCUGGGGCUCAACCCCGGGACUGCAUUGGAAACUGUCGGUCUUGAGUGCCGGAGGGGUAAGCGGAAUUCCUAGUGUAGCGGUGAAAUGCGUAGAUAUUAGGAGGAACACCAGUGGCGAAGGCGGCUUACUGGACGGUAACUGACGUUGAGGCUCGAAAGCGUGGGGAGCAAACAGGAUUAGAUACCCUGGUA
RNAcentral lists this ribosomal RNA (434 nucleotides) under uncultured Blautia sp. Its description in RNAcentral is "partial 16S ribosomal RNA". It matches the Rfam family "Bacterial small subunit ribosomal RNA", at positions 341 to 792 of the family's 1533-position model. The record is from RNAcentral. Lineage: Bacteria; Bacillati; Bacillota; Clostridia; Lachnospirales; Lachnospiraceae.